GCCUGGCUGGCUCAGUUAAUGGAGCAUGUGACUGUUAAUCUCGGGGUUGUGAGUUCAAGUCCCAUGUUGGGUA
RNAcentral lists this transfer RNA (73 nucleotides) under Felis catus (domestic cat). It matches the Rfam family "tRNA". Rfam says of the family: Transfer RNA (tRNA) molecules are approximately 80 nucleotides in length. The record is from Rfam by way of RNAcentral. Lineage: Eukaryota; Metazoa; Chordata; Mammalia; Carnivora; Felidae.